CUUGCACUUCGGAAAGAAGGAGCUCUCCUUAGGCUGGGAGGGGCCAAGCCGCUGGCCCGUGAGCCUGGGGCAGCUCUGGACUGUGCUUGCUGUCCUUGAGGAGAAUGCAGCCAGCCCAGGGCAAAUCAGAGCCAGGCAGAACAUGGCCCUAACAGUGGGCAGCAUGAAACUGAGGAACACAGCAGGAAGCUGAUUUAGGCAAACUCAGCAGGAAGUGUUCCCUGUGAACCCAUGAGACUUCAUCCCUGCGUUGGUCUGGCUGGCUUUCCCUGUGAGAUACAGGUUCCUCCUGAAGAGCUGAAGCUCCAUUCCAGCUCUAGACUUCUCCUUGCUUUCAGACUUCAAGAUGAGAAGCAUUUUUCCAGUCCACAAGUGUUAGAGGACACUGCCGAUGAUGUGUGUUUUGCCCAGGCUGGACUCAGCUUCUUUGUCUCGCCUGGCGAAGAGGCAGUGCUGUGCCAGGAAAUAGCACCCAGGCAGGACUCCAGGGUGGGGACCGCUAAUCUGGCUUUGCCACAAUUUUGAAAGAAGAGUCAUGCUUCAAUUAAUAACAGACAACGGAGUCAAUAUGAAGGGAGCAGAGACAAUGAUGUGAUCAAAUGCCAAGAAAUGACUGACAGCAGAAAAAAUAUCAUGACCACUGUGGGAGGAGGUACUUUCUCUUUGUCAGAAGAACAGAAGCAAAUGGUCUGCUUAUAGCCUUUUAUGUGACGAUGUGCCCUUUCUGCCACUGCAAGGGAAAGAGUCAUCUUUGCUCCUCCAUUUUGGUUUAUCCUAAGAAAGACCAACACUAUGUCUAGCCCAGAGAGAGAAACACAUAAAAUAAAUACAAGUUAAAUCUUCAAUGGGACAUCAAGUUCCAUGUACAAGGCUAACCUAGACUAUAAAGUCCUUGAAGUAAGUGAAUUUAUUAUAUAUCUCUAUCACUGGACACACUGUUUGCAUGAAAUGAAGAGAAGCUUAAUAAAAGUGUCUUCAUAAUGACAAAGACAGGGAUGAUUAUUUGUAGAUACAACAUUUAAAGUAUAAAUACAGUUCAAGAAGAUUUGAUUCUAAUCGAAACACUUCCACCUAAAUAAGAAUCCUGAUGCAAAUAAUGACUAGUUUUAAAAUGACACCUUUUUUCAGACAUUACAAGCAAUGCUUAGUCGUUAAAUUAAAAAAUAAAUACCCCGUACGAUUUAAGAAGAAAAUAGAACACAUCUCUAUUCCCACCACUUAGCUAACAUUUGGUGUGCUUAUUCUCUCUGUCUCUGUCUGUCUCUGCCUGUCUCUCUCUUUCAUUCUCAUUCACUCCUGCCCUCACCUCUCUCUCUCUGUCUUAUCUACCUUUGUUUUGAUUUUACAAAUUUAAGUCCAUAUUCAUGCUGUACAUGAUUAAGGUUACACACUUAGUAUGUACACACUUUUUCACUUAUAUCAUGAACAUCUUUGUCAAACUUUUAGAAACAUUUUACCAGAGCCCUGUUUUGAAGACAUGAAAGUUGUUCUCUAUUCAUUUUUAAAUUAGGGAUAUAUCAUAUGUGGGUAUAUUUACACACAUAUUUUGGAGCACAUUUUAAAUUGUUUCCUUAGGAAAUAUUGCUAAAAGUAGAUUUAAAAAAAUAUUAAAGUGUUUGAUAAACAUUACUAUAAUAUCCUCCAGAAAGUCUGAACUAAUUUAAACUCCCAUUAACAACAUUUGUACAUAUUUCCAUUGCAACCUUGUUAAGAAAGUACUAUUUUGAUAAACAGACAAAAAGGAAAUCACACAGUUGUUUAAUUUGCAUAAAAUACUAAAUACUUUCUUCUU
Molecule: long non-coding RNA, 1792 nt
Filed under: Homo sapiens (human)
Lineage: Eukaryota; Metazoa; Chordata; Mammalia; Primates; Hominidae
Description: HSALNT0250076
Source: RNAcentral